RNAcentral lists this ribosomal RNA (253 nucleotides) under uncultured bacterium. Its description in RNAcentral is "partial 16S ribosomal RNA". It matches the Rfam family "Bacterial small subunit ribosomal RNA", at positions 524 to 776 of the family's 1533-position model. The record is from RNAcentral.
UACGUAGGGUGCGAGCGUUAAUCGGAAUUACUAGGCGUAAAGCGUACGCAGGCGGCUGGGUAAGACAGGUGUGAAAUCCCCGGGCUUAACCUGGGAACUGCAUUUGUGACUACCCGGCUAGAAUCCGUUAGAAAAGGGUGGAAUUCCACGUGUAGCAGUGAAAUGCGUAGAGAUGUGGAGGAACACCGAUGGCGAAGACAGCCCGCGGGGACAGGACUGACGCUCAGAUACGAAAGCGUGGGAAGCAAACAGG